GAUCCUGGCUCAGAAUCAACGCUGGCGGCGUGCCUCAGACAUGCAAGUCGAACGAUUAAACUUUCCUUCGGGAAAGAUAUAAAGUGGCGCACGGGUGAGUAACACGUAAGUAAUCUACCUUCGAGUGGGGAAUAACAUCGGGAAACCGAUGCUAAUACCGCAUAAUGCAGCGGCAUCGAAAGAUGACAGUUGUUAAAGGAGCAAUUCGCUUGAAGAGGAGCUUGCGGCAGAUUAGCUAGUUGGUAAGGUAAUGGCUUACCAAGGCUACGAUCUGUAUCCGGUCUAAGAGGACGGUCGGACACACUGACACUGAAUAACGGGUCAGACUCCUACGGGAGGCAGCAGUCGGGAAUUUUGGGCAAUGGGCGAAAGCCUGACCCAGCAACGCCGCGUGAAGGAUGAAGUAUUUCGGUAUGUAAACUUCGAAAGAAUGGGAAGAAUAAAUUGACGGUACCAUUUAUAAGGUCCGGCUAACUACGUGCCAGCAGCCGCGGUAAUACGUAGGGACCAAGCGUUGUUCGGAUUUACUGGGCGUAAAGGGCGCGUAGGCGGCAAAUUAAGUCAGCUGUGAAAUCUCCGAGCUUAACUCGGAACUGUCAGCUGAUACUGAUCUGCUUGAGUGCGGAAGGGGCAAUCGGAAUUCUUGGUGUAGCGGUGAAAUGCGUAGAUAUCAAGAGGAACACCUGAGGU
RNAcentral lists this ribosomal RNA (690 nucleotides) under uncultured Acidobacteriota bacterium. RNAcentral describes it as "bacterial SSU rRNA". It matches the Rfam family "Bacterial small subunit ribosomal RNA", at positions 15 to 716 of the family's 1533-position model. The record is from RNAcentral. Lineage: Bacteria; Pseudomonadati; Acidobacteriota.